Molecule: ribosomal RNA, 421 nt
Filed under: uncultured bacterium
Lineage: Bacteria
Description: bacterial SSU rRNA
Rfam family: Bacterial small subunit ribosomal RNA
Source: RNAcentral
UGGGGAAUAUUGGACAAUGGGCGAAAGCCUGAUCCAGCGACGCCGCGUGAGGGAUGAAGGCCUUCGGGUUGUAAACCUCUUUUAAGAAUGAGGAAUAUCUCUACAAAAUAGAGAUUGACAGUAAUUCUUGAAUAAGCCACGGCUAACUACGUGCCAGCAGCCGCGGUAAUACGUAGGUGGCGAGCGUUACUCGGAUUUACUAGGUGUAAAACGUGGGUAGGUGGUCUGGUAAGUUAAAGGUGAAAUUUACGAUUAAAAUUGUAAAAGUCUUUUAAUACUGCCAGGCUUGAGUGUAAAAUGGGGAAUCGGAAUUCCAGGUGUAGCGGUGAAAUGCGUAGAUAUCUGGAGGAAUGCCGAUGGCGAAGGCGGGUUCCUGGUUUAUUACUGACACUGAGCCACGAAAGCCGGGGGAGCAAACAGG